This 520-nucleotide ribosomal RNA is filed under the name uncultured Acaulospora. RNAcentral's name for it is "SSU rRNA". It matches the Rfam family "Eukaryotic small subunit ribosomal RNA", at positions 569 to 1089 of the family's 1831-position model. Lineage: Eukaryota; Fungi; Glomeromycota; Glomeromycetes; Diversisporales; Acaulosporaceae. The record is from RNAcentral.
AGCAGCCGCGGUAAUUCCAGCUCCAAUAGCGUAUAUUAAAGUUGUUGCAGUUAAAAAGCUCGUAGUUGAAUUUCGGAGUUUAUCGGUUGGUCGGGCUUCACUGUCCGCACUGGCCUGAUGGAUUCCUACCUUCUGAAUAACCAGCAUGCUAUUAAUUUAGUGCGUUGGGGAAGCAGAGCUAUUACCUUGAAAAAAUUAGAGUGCUUAAAGCAGGCUUAUGCUUGAAUAGAUUAGCAUGGAAUAAUAAAAUAGGACGGCUUGGUUCUAUUUUGUUGGUUUCUAGGAUCACCGUAAUGAUUAAUAGGGAUAGUUGGGGGCAUUAGUAUUCAAUUGUCAGAGGUGAAAUUCUUGGAUUUAUUGAAGACUAACUUCUGCGAAAGCAUUUGCCAAGGAUGUUUUCAUUAAUCAAGAACGAAAGUUAGGGGAUCGAAGACGAUCAGAUACCGUCGUAGUCUUAACCAUAAACUAUGCCGACUAGGGAUCGGACGAUGUUAAUUUUUAAUGACUCGUUCGGCGUCCG